CCCAGCCCCAUUCCUCACCUGAUGUGCAGGAGGAGCAUCUAUAUGCCCUGGCCUGCAUCUCACGAAACAUGACUGUGUAUUAAUAAUUACCGUUUCAUUUCAAAUGGUGUGAAAUGAAACAGCUUGCAGCUUGAAAGAGAAAGAAUCUAGCCAAAAUUUCAAUACAACUGAACAGAGACGAGUUGGAGAAAAGUUUUCUCUUUGGAGACUCUUCUUUGUUUUCUUUUCUAUGGAAAAUAUUGAGCUGUCAGACGUGUGAAGGGAGAAGUGCUGGGUGGCUUUGUGGACAGAGCAAGGAAAAACCAACUGCCAGCACAAUCGAACUCUAAUAUUCACUGAUGUCAGUAUAUUCAUCAUUGACAGCUAUAUCUUCUGCAUUGUUUCAUAUAAGACUAUAAGAUGGGACAUUCAGGCAGUUAUUUAUGCCAAGCAAAAGACAUUUCUCACCACAAAAAGGACGUCUUUAAUAGAAAACCACAAAAGUAUCUGAAGGCUGCUUACCUUACUGGCUAACUUCUUCAGCUGUUCCUGAAUUUGAUCGAUUUUUUCUGCUAUAAUGAUGAUUUUGUUCCUGAGAAUAUCACGGAAUUCUGGCAGCUGAUGUGCUUCAUAGUGCAGUUGGAACAGGGGAUCAUUCCAGGACUGCAGCACCAUGAUCAGCAGCUUGACAAUAUCUUUUGGCUAAGCAGACAUACCAGACCAAUCAGGUGGAAAUAAGCAAGCUACAGCUGGUUAAUAACAUGUGAAUUUUGCUCUACGGGUCCAAACUAAAGUAUUUUUUGUUACUCUUGUGAGUAUGUAAAGUCUUCUGUAGAUCAUAAAAGGUGUAAAAUGUAAACAAUUGGCUUACACCUUGCUACAGUAAUAUGAAUGCAGGAAACUAGCAAAUUGAUGUGACUACUUUUUCUAAUGAGAACUCUAAUCAAUGAUCUUGGGUUUUUUCCUCUGAAAUCAUAUUAAAACUCUGAUUUUAGGGGGAAAUUAAAAAAGUGAGAUUAUUACAGUAAAAUGUUAGUGCUUGCUGUGCAAUUAGGUGUUCACCUGUAUACUGUGUGUUGAUCAGAACAGAGGUUGGAGUCAGACCCCUGAAAAAUGUGAUAUAGCAUUUUACAGGAUGUACACGGUGUGGCAACGUUCAGUUUAGAUAUAUGUGAAGGCAGCAGAGUGAGUGAAGUGUGAAGGAGUAAGUGUUAGCAGAAGUUCAAAAUGAAAGCGAGUUGAAAGUAUAGAAGAUAUGAUUUAGAUUAGGCAGAGUUUAGUACUAUAAAUGGUUAUCAAUGCAGGAGUCAUUGGUAACCUCUAGAAAGUGAAACUGCAGCUGCAUCUCUUACAUAUCCAGCUCAGUUUAGACUUCCUUCCCUAUAGUAUACUGUGCUUACUCUUAGCUACAUAUCAUUGGUUAAUCUGCUUGCAAAUUCAUGGAUCUCUGUAAUUUUUACAUAGCAUUUCUUUUUAUGUGUAACUGUUAACUACAUGAUACAAUUUUUGUUUGAUUGGUUAAUCUUCCUCCAUUUUUCUCUGCCACAUAACUACUAUUAAAACUAAUCACAGUGUAUGCCAUUGCAAAGCAGUGCACUGCCUCAAUUGUUCUUGUGAGGGUGGGGUAGGGACCCACCUGCAUCAUCAGAUCCUGCUCCUCCCCUACUGGAAAGAUGGUGGGAACCGUGUGGCACUUUUUCCUGGCUUCCGGAAAGACGAAUAGGCCUCGUGAAUACUUUUUGUCCUGGAAUGAUGAAUAAAAUUCAAUUAGUUGGUAUUUGGGAAUUAAAAUAAUGAACCUUUUUGUUUUACCAGAAUGUUAAUACAUUUGAUGUAUAUGUAAUUUUUAAAAAAUAUUAGAGCUGUAUAGAUGCUGAAACUAAAGAAUUAUGAAAGUAAUGCUAAUUUUAACUAUUUCUAUAAUUUCAUUGUUUUAAACUCACUUUUCUAACCUCCCAACCUCUUCCUUUCUUUGCUAUGCCUUUGUUCUGACCCUUCCUAUGAAUAGAUAUGUGAAACAAACACAAAAAAUAGCACAAGUACAACAUGUUAACUGUUUUAAGUGUCAUGUUCUCAAGUAUUUGAGCCAAAUACAAAGAUGCAUAUAUAUCUGUAUUUGCCUAUUUAAUCUCAUGUUGUUCAACAACACUGAUAUUCUUUCUAUAA
Long non-coding RNA from Cavia porcellus (domestic guinea pig), 2145 nucleotides. RefSeq lists it as uncharacterized. The record is from RefSeq and is a predicted model, not a curated record. The transcript is spliced from 2 exons. Lineage: Eukaryota; Metazoa; Chordata; Mammalia; Rodentia; Caviidae.